Treponema maltophilum ATCC 51939 is the source of this 74-nucleotide transfer RNA. It matches the Rfam family "tRNA". Rfam says of the family: Transfer RNA (tRNA) molecules are approximately 80 nucleotides in length. Their secondary structure includes four short double-helical elements and three loops (D, anti-codon, and T loops). Further hydrogen bonds mediate the characteristic L-shaped molecular structure. tRNAs have two regions of fundamental functional importance: the anti-codon, which is responsible for specific mRNA codon recognition, and the 3' end, to which the tRNAs corresponding amino acid is attached (by aminoacyl-tRNA synthetases). tRNAs cope with the degeneracy of the genetic code in two manners: having more than one tRNA (with a specific anti-codon) for a particular amino acid; and 'wobble' base-pairing, i.e. permitting non-standard base-pairing at the 3rd anti-codon position. NCBI's taxonomy places the organism in Bacteria, Pseudomonadati, Spirochaetota, Spirochaetia, Treponematales, Treponemataceae. The record is from Rfam.
GGGGAUAUAGCUCAGCUGGCUAGAGCAUCGGCUUUGCAAGCCGAGGGUCAGGGGUUCGAAUCCCCUUAUCUCCA